This 77-nucleotide transfer RNA is filed under the name Candidatus Sungiibacteriota bacterium. RNAcentral's name for it is "Candidatus Sungbacteria bacterium tRNA-Lys". It matches the Rfam family "tRNA". Rfam says of the family: Transfer RNA (tRNA) molecules are approximately 80 nucleotides in length. Their secondary structure includes four short double-helical elements and three loops (D, anti-codon, and T loops). Further hydrogen bonds mediate the characteristic L-shaped molecular structure. tRNAs have two regions of fundamental functional importance: the anti-codon, which is responsible for specific mRNA codon recognition, and the 3' end, to which the tRNAs corresponding amino acid is attached (by aminoacyl-tRNA synthetases). tRNAs cope with the degeneracy of the genetic code in two manners: having more than one tRNA (with a specific anti-codon) for a particular amino acid; and 'wobble' base-pairing, i.e. permitting non-standard base-pairing at the 3rd anti-codon position. The record is from RNAcentral. Lineage: Bacteria; Candidatus Sungiibacteriota.
GGGCUCGUAGCUCAACUUGGUAGAGCAGCGGGCUUUUAACCCGAGGGUUGCAGGUUCAACUCCUGCCGGGCCCACCA